This 684-nucleotide ribosomal RNA is filed under the name Staphylococcus aureus. Its description in RNAcentral is "partial 23S ribosomal RNA". It matches the Rfam family "Bacterial large subunit ribosomal RNA", at positions 231 to 914 of the family's 2925-position model. The record is from RNAcentral. Lineage: Bacteria; Bacillati; Bacillota; Bacilli; Caryophanales; Staphylococcaceae.
UCGAUUCCCUUAGUAGCGGCGAGCGAAACGGGAAGAGCCCAAACCAACAAGCUUGCUUGUUGGGGUUGUAGGACACUCUAUACGGAGUUACAAAGGACGACAUUAGACGAAUCAUCUGGAAAGAUGAAUCAAAGAAGGUAAUAAUCCUGUAGUCGAAAAUGUUGUCUCUCUUGAGUGGAUCCUGAGUACGACGGAGCACGUGAAAUUCCGUCGGAAUCUGGGAGGACCAUCUCCUAAGGCUAAAUACUCUCUAGUGACCGAUAGUGAACCAGUACCGUGAGGGAAAGGUGAAAAGCACCCCGGAAGGGGAGUGAAAUAGAACCUGAAACCGUGUGCUUACAAGUAGUCAGAGCCCGUUAAUGGGUGAUGGCGUGCCUUUUGUAGAAUGAACCGGCGAGUUACGAUUUGAUGCAAGGUUAAGCAGUAAAUGUGGAGCCGUAGCGAAAGCGAGUCUGAAUAGGGCGUUUAGUAUUUGGUCGUAGACCCGAAACCAGGUGAUCUACCCUUGGUCAGGUUGAAGUUCAGGUAACACUGAAUGGAGGACCGAACCGACUUACGUUGAAAAGUGAGCGGAUGAACUGAGGGUAGCGGAGAAAUUCCAAUCGAACCUGGAGAUAGCUGGUUCUCUCCGAAAUAGCUUUAGGGCUAGCCUCAAGUGAUGAUUAUUGGAGGUAGAGCACUGUU